GUUUCUGUUGUGCCUGUAUUUCAAAGGUCCAGGCUUGUCAAACACUAUGUCACUUUGAGUCUCCCCUAGCACUGCAUUAAGGGUACACGUGUUUGAGGAGUGCUCAGCCACUUGCAUAUGAUCACGGUUUCGAUUCCCAGACCGAGCGUUG
Long non-coding RNA from Octopus sinensis (East Asian common octopus), 151 nucleotides. RefSeq lists it as uncharacterized. The record is from RefSeq and is a predicted model, not a curated record. The transcript is spliced from 3 exons. Lineage: Eukaryota; Metazoa; Mollusca; Cephalopoda; Octopoda; Octopodidae.